CGGGGUGUAGCGCAGCUUGGUAGCGCGCAUGGUUUGGGACCAUGAGGCCCCGGGUUCAAAUCCCGGCGCCCCGACCA
This 77-nucleotide transfer RNA is filed under the name Bacillota bacterium. RNAcentral describes it as "tRNA-Pro". It matches the Rfam family "tRNA". Rfam says of the family: Transfer RNA (tRNA) molecules are approximately 80 nucleotides in length. Their secondary structure includes four short double-helical elements and three loops (D, anti-codon, and T loops). The record is from RNAcentral. Lineage: Bacteria; Bacillati; Bacillota. RNAcentral also lists the same sequence under 1 other name.